GACGAACGCUGGCGGCGUGCCUAAUACAUGCAAGUCGAACGCAUUUUCUUUCACCGUAGCUUGCUACACCGAAAGAAAAUGAGUGGCGAACGGGUGAGUAACACGUGUGUAACCUGCCCAUCAGCGGGGGAUAACACUUGGAAACAGGUGCUAAUACCGCAUAAUUCCAUUUACUGCAUGGUAGUUGGAUGAAAGGCGCUUUUGCGUCACUGUUGGAUGGACUCGCGGUGCAUUAGCUAGGUGGUGGGGUAACGGCCUACCAAGGCUGCGAUGCAUAGCCGCCAUGAGAGGGUGAGCGGCCACCCUGGGACUGAGACACGGCCCAGAGGGCUUCGGGAGGCAGCAGGAGGGAAACGUCGGCAAGGGACGCAAGACUGACCGAGCAACGCCGAGGGAGUGCAGAACGUUGUCGGAUCGGAAAACUCUGUUGUUAGAAAAGAACAAGGAUGAGCGUGGAAAGUUCAUCGCUCGACGGUAUCUAAUCAGAAAGCCACGGCUAACUACGUG
This 507-nucleotide ribosomal RNA is filed under the name uncultured bacterium. Its description in RNAcentral is "partial 16S ribosomal RNA". It matches the Rfam family "Bacterial small subunit ribosomal RNA", at positions 28 to 507 of the family's 1533-position model. The record is from RNAcentral.